This 693-nucleotide ribosomal RNA is filed under the name uncultured bacterium. Its description in RNAcentral is "bacterial SSU rRNA". It matches the Rfam family "Bacterial small subunit ribosomal RNA", at positions 807 to 1501 of the family's 1533-position model. The record is from RNAcentral.
CGAUGUGUGUUAGACGUUGGAAAUUUAUUUCAGUGUCGCAAGGGAAACCGAUAAACACACCGCCUGGGGAGUACGACCGCAAGGUUAAAACUCAAAUGAAUUGACGGGGACCCGCACAAGUAGUGGAGCAUGUGGUUUAAUUCGAAGAUACGCGCAGAACCUUACCAACACUUGACAUGUUCGUCGCGACUCUAAGAGAUUAGAGUUUUCGGUUCGGCCGGACGAAACACAGGUGCUGCAUGGCUGUCGUCAGCUCGUGUCGUGAGAUGUUGGGUUAAGUCCCGCAACGAGCGCAACCCUCACUUUUAGUUGCCAUCAUUAAGUUGGGCACUCUGAAAGAACUGCCAGUGAUAAGCUGGAGGAAGGUGGGGGUGACGUCAAGUCCUCAUGGCCCUUACGUGUUGGGCUACACACGUGCUACAAUGGCAUCUACAACAGGAAGCAAAACGGCAACGUUAAGCAAAUCCCGAAAAGAUGCCUCAGUUCGGAUUGCACUCUGCAACUCGAGUGCAUGAAGCUGGAAUUACUAGUAAUCGUGGAUCAGCGUGCCACGGUGAAUGCGUUCCCGGGUCUUGUACACACCGCCCGUCACACCAUGGGAGUUGGUUCUACCUUAAGGCAAAUCGUCAACCUUCGGGAGACAUUUGACUACGGUACGAUCAGCAACUGGGGUGAAGUCGUAACAAGGUAACC